This 309-nucleotide unclassified non-coding RNA is filed under the name plant metagenome. RNAcentral's name for it is "partial contains 5.8S ribosomal RNA, internal transcribed spacer 2, and large subunit ribosomal RNA". The stretch from base 1 to 105 matches the Rfam family "5.8S ribosomal RNA", at positions 50 to 154 of the family's 154-position model. The record is from RNAcentral.
GAAAUGCGAUAAGUAAUGUGAAUUGCAGAAUUCAGUGAAUCAUCGAAUCUUUGAACGCACAUUGCGCCCGCCAGUAUUCUGGCGGGCAUGCCUGUUCGAGCGUCAUUUCAACCAUCAAGCCCCCGGGCUUGUGUUGGGGACCUGCGGCUGCCGCAGGCCCCGAAAACCAGUGGCGGGCUCGCUGUCACACCGGGCGUAGUAGAUUUUUCGUCUCGCCCAGGGCGUGCUGCGGGUUCCGGCCGUUAAAAAGCCGCUCUUUUAACCCAAGGUUGACCUCGGAUCAGGUAGGAAGACCCGCUGAACUUAAGC